Molecule: long non-coding RNA, 911 nt
Organism: Drosophila santomea
Lineage: Eukaryota; Metazoa; Arthropoda; Insecta; Diptera; Drosophilidae
Exons: 3
Source: RefSeq, a predicted model, not a curated record
GAUAUUUUUCUCUGUGUUGCCGAGCUUUAGACUUCAUUUAAAUCAAGGCAGAUCGUUCGUGUUCCCUUUUGAUCUGGGCGGCCAGGGGGUUUAGGGAGUGCCCCGCGUUUUCCCUUUUUAUUAAGGAAGUCGUCUGGUCUCCUGCGGAAGGAAGUCGCGCCUGUUCCGCAAUUUACUUCGGAUAAAAAGUUUCACAUUAAAAAAGAUUCGCAUGGCAUGAAUGCAAAUUAUCGCAGAAAUGUUAUUGAACUUUUCCUUCUAAAGGAGCUACACACAUACAUACCUACAUACAUGUAUUGAGAGAGGAUCAGAAGGAGUCUGUUGAAGCCAUAUAUCUAUUGGUAUCUGUUCCAUGUGUGGGCAAUAACACUGUUUCCUCGUCGUUUUCGUUUUUAAAGGUUUUGAUGCUCCUGAAACGCCUACAAGUGUGUAGGGGUAGGGACAGCAACGCGUUUAAUUGCUUUAUUCUUCUGACCAGACCAAACCAGGCAUAUGGAAAUGGAGAUGGAGAUGAGAAAGGCAUCCAGUUGCUGUUUCAAUUGCCCAUGCCCCAUGCCCUUGAAAAUAUUGCGAGAGAGCCAUUGAGAAGUCACAGAUGAUUUGAUCUUUCCGUUGGUGUUGUAUGUGCGGGUCGAAUUCUCUGAGGCGACGCUGCAGCCAUUCCCAAUGACUAAAGGACGAAAACGAUGUGUGUACUUUGUGGAACAGCCAUUACACAUGUAAAUCGGGAAUCUGAGUCCCCGACAACAAAAUAACCCCAAGGAAAACAGGCUGAGCGAUAAGCUGAAAAUGCACACAUUUAUAUGUUAAAGAUGGAAAACUGAUCAACAUAUAUAAUUACCGAAAUUUUCCAUAUGCAACGUGUGAACUGGGAACUGAACUGAAAACGGGAUCGGGAACAUGAACGUGAC